UGAUGUGGGGUUAAGGGUUGGUGAGGUAUCCUUUUCUGCUCUUGUAGACCCAUUAUCCCAUGGCAACCAUUUUCUCUCAUGCCACAUGCUCCACAUCAGCCAUUUUGUGCUAUUCAGUUCCCCCAUGGCAGCCAUUUUGUGAUCUGUCUGGCCUGGUGCCCAUGGCAGUCAUUUGUAACUAAAAACUAGAACUUUUUCAAUACUCCUCUGGCUCAAAAAGGUUGGCAAUUCCUGGCACAUAUGAUUCCCUUACCAUCACUGUUAUGUAUUGGGUUUAACACUUUUUAUGUUACGAGGUGCGUUCUAACCAAUCGUAUAAGUGUUGAUAGACGAAUGUUCUAAUAGCAAGUAAGCGCACGCACUUUCAACUGUCAACUGUCAACUGUCAACUGUCAACUGUCAACGGUCAGUUCAUGUUGGGGCUUUUAUUGUGUAGUCCUGUGAGUUCGGGUUUUGUUUUCCUAUGAGUGAGCCAUUGUCACUGACAAUGUUGAAUAAACGUAGUUGAGGAACUUGUACUGCCUUGGGCUUCUGACUUUUUCCAAACAUUUAACAUUGGUGAUGAGGAUGGGAUGUAUGAGCUCCUGCCGGCUGCCAGAGGCCCAAGACCGCACCUCAGCACUGCCGCCUGCCACCUUGCAGUAAGCGCGACCUCACUGCCCCACUGGACUCAGCAAAUAGUCCUGGAAAAUAAACCGCGCCUGCCGCGUCUUCGCAACCACCCACAAUCGCACAAGUGACUGCUCCAGGUCUGAGGAUGGCCACCAGUCAUAGUCAGCCGCCACCAGACUUCACUAUGAGCUAUCCUGCAGAAUUGCCGCAGUGGCUCCGCCGAAUAAGGAGCUAUGUCCGACUACAAGGCUUCACUAGGGAGGCAGACAAGGUGGAAGUGCUACUGAUGGUGCUGGGAAGUUCCGCCAUCACUCUACUGGAAGGUCUGGUGGCACCCAGGGACAUAGAGGCAUGCACUUUCAAUGAGCUGACACUGGCUAUGACAAGACACCUUGCACCCCAGCCAACUAAGAACCACUGCCACUAUGACUUUGCGCACAGAGAACAACAAGCGCAAGAGUCAGCGAGUGAAUACAUCACAGUGCUCCAGGCGAUUGUGAUGUAUUCAAGAGAGCAACAGAAUUCAAGAGGGCAAAUUCAGAAGGAUCCCUCCCUGCCAAAAUCCUGUUGUUGUUUUUUAUUUGAUGGGGGAAUCUUCAACAGCAGCAACCCUAUUGUAAAUAAACUAUUGACUCUGUGCUAUGUGUAUGUCAGAUAUCACUUGUGCAGGAAAAUUGAAGGGCUGGAUGUAUAGUAAUUAAAUGUAUUAUAAAAAGCGGCAUUUUUUAUUUUUAAAAAUCACCCGUGCCAAGGAAUUCCACAUUUUCUAAUGUCAUUGCAAGCUAAAAUGACACAAUGCUCUUAAGUGUGCCUGUGUUUAUCAGGUUCCUGUUCCAAGUUUCCGACUUUAUUUUCUGGGAAAGGGCACUAUUUCAUAGAAAACACACCAGAGAAAGACAAAAUAAAAGUGAAGGCAGCAUAGUGUAUGUUGUCUUGCUUAUAAACAGAGGGGUAACUGUAAGUAUGCAGACUGCAGGUCAAAAGUCUGCCAGAAGUUGAUGAGAGCAGCAAUUUAUAUGGAAAAGGUCAGAGUGAAUUAAGAGACUAGCAAGUGAAUGAAAGUGGUAAUUAGUCAUUCAUAUUUAGCUUCUUAGUUACUUUGUUUUCCAAGACCAGAGCUCACUAUGUGGCCAGCUCAAGAUGUCAGCCUUCUUCACUGUAACCCUUUGAUAUUUUUGGUGUUCCCACAGCAACAGACAUUGGGCCAUUAUUGUUUUUUUCCAUCUGCUCACACAGUUUCCACUAAGCUUUGGAAUGGAAACCUAUGUCACCAUGUCUGUGAGAGAAGAAGCAUGCCUGCGUACAGCAUCUGAAAUGCUUGCACAAAGAAAGGAGCUCAGGAGGAAGCUGAGUCAGACCCUCACCAGGUAUAAACUGCUGGAACUCAUUUGAAUACUCAGAUGCUAAAUUUGCUUUCUAGCACAUUGGUUUGGUUCCUAUUCAAUGUGACGGCAAUGAAAUAUGGAAGCUAAAGACAAUACAAUACUAAAUGGAACAAGUUUUUCAAGAGCUUGCUUAGGUAUUGGCCAGAUCAUGAAGGGAUGCAGAUCAGUGCAUGCGUAGGUCUGGGAGAAACACUUAUCCAGAAUCAUGGAUAGUCGCUGCUUGGACCAGCUUCACCCAUAUGUUGUUGAACUCCAGAUCCAGAUCAUGAGGAAUGAUGGGAGCUGUAAUCCAAGAACAUUUGGAGGAUACCAGAGUGCUGUAGACAACAUUGAGCUUGUGGUCCUUCUGUACCAUUUCCCCUGAUUGUUGGAUUGGCUGGGCAUCUUUAGAGCUUGUUUUGUUCCUGAAUUGUAUACUUACUUACAUCUUGACAACUUACAACUUGAUCAGUCAGUAGAUCAUGAGAUUCUUAAUCUUAGGGCAUAUUGGGCAAAAGAUUCCUGCAUUAAAGGUAGUUGGACUUGAUGACCCUCAAGAUUUCUUCAGAUUCUACAGUUCUGUGAUUUUAUUAUUCCCUCUCUUCACUGCAACAUGCAAGAAAUAAAGACCAGGAAGCUGAUGCCCAGAAGUCCAUGGCUGAAACGAUAGCUCCAAGGUAGUUGCUAGUUUCUUCAGGAUUCUGAAGGGGAAAAGUACACCCAGUGCAGGCCAGCUAAUUGGGUAUGCCCACAUUAUGAAUAGCUUAGAAGUAGACAACUUGCCAACUGAGAAGAGUUAGAACCAAUCAGCAACUCUCCCCUCUUCUGUUUCCCCACUGAGCUCAGACUGCUCCAGAGACAGCUAAUGAGUGCUUCACACAGUCCCAGGAAGAUAGUUCCCUAACACCAGAGGCAUUUUCAGGGAAUAAUGUUGAAAUACGAGAUGAGCCAAAGGCAAUUUAUUGUGGUCCGAGGCCGUUGCAAUCCUUUCGUUGAGCAUGCUUAUUUUACACAAAGGCAGUUAAUAUGGAAACUGGCCCAUGGCCAAAAAGGAACAAGAAUCAGAAAUAGACUUUCUGGUCCAACAACAUGUUUAUGUUUGGGGAUUUGGGGUUUUUUUUGGUGGGGUGGUUUCAGAUGCUGUGAAUCCCUUGAAGUCAUUCUAAGGUAGGAGGAUGUCAAAGACUGUUGUGAAGAUGACUAUUAGAGUUAGGAGCUAACAGUCAUUCACAAUGCAUACAGUGAUUUUUCAAUUAGGGCAUUUGUUAUGGGCGGGGGGAGGCAGAAGGUGAGAAGGCAGAAGAGUUGGGUUUAUUUGAGGGCAAGGGGGUUGGAAGGAAGGCUAUUGACAGUGUUUGUUUGUUUUUACACUACCCUUUCUACACAAUUGUAGCACAGAAUUCUCAGGCUGAAUUGUCUCCUGAAAAGUAAUGACACCAUGCCAAAUAGUUCAGAGCAGCUGAAACCAUAUUUUGUGUGAUCAACCUUCUGCAGGAACAGACUGCCAAAACAGCUAGCAGCAGGCAUGCAAGCAAUGCUGUGGUUGUUUCACACAAUAAUCAGAUCUGAUCCACUCAAACAUGCUUUAAUUUCAGAGAGCAACUGUUGUAGCACUGUGGCAAGUCAGAUGGUUCACAUCAGCACAAAAUCAGCAUUGCCAUUGCUAACUUCAUUCCCAUGGUUUAGAUUUGGACCUGGUUCUGCCAUCGCUGCCAAUAUGUUUAAUACCUGCCAGAACCACCACUGAUGCACUGACAUCCAGGCUGGUGGAACCUCUGUGAUGUGGUUGCAGAAAGUGCUAUAUGCUGCUGAGUCCUUUGAUUGGGAUGCGAAUGAGAUUCUAGAGAAAGUCACUCAAAUAUAUGCAAUCUCCUUUGAAAGAGACACAUAUGCACCAGGAGUGUAUAUGGACAAAGUGAUGGGGGAAGUGCAUAUGUCUAUUAGAACACAGAAAACUGCCUUAUACUGAGUCAAACCACUGGUCCAUCUCACUUAGCAUUAUAAACAGUGGCUCUACAGAAUCUGAGACAGGAAUAUUUUACAUCCCUCUACUGAAGAUAUUAAUGAGUGGGAAGGUACAUACAAGCAGCAAUACAAGUAUCUUGGUCCAGAGCCAUAAAGGGUUUUGCAUUGGGCUCAGAAAUGAACUCAAAACCAGUGCAACUGGUAUAAUAUGAUAAUAGCACCCGGGCAGUAAUCUAGCUAUCAUGUUCUGAACUACAGUUUAUUGUACCAGCUUCAAAGACAGCCACACAUAGAGUGAAUUAUAGCAAUCUGUCAUGGACUGGAUGGGUGCAGAGUAAUGGUGAGAGGAACCAUCUGGGGAACCCCCAAGGGAAGAAGGCUCAGAGCCAGGGCACUGGUGGUGGAACAACGACGAGUGGUCAGAGGGAGAUGAGGGAGCAAACUGGGAGGUGGAGGAGGUGUUGGAAGCUGAAGCGGUAACAGGGUUUGAUGAGCAGGAAGAGUCUGUGGCAGAGAGCAGUCCAGAUCAGAGGCAGAAGCCGAAGCAGAAGAGGAGGGAUGCUAAAAGGCAGAGAUGAGUCCGGCUGGUGAAGAGGCACAGGUGUCGCCCCCUCCUGCUGUGACAAGCUCCCCUCCCUGCUGGUCUCCCAGAACCAGAAGAGACAUGAAGCUGGGGGAGCAAAGACUGACAUGCAGGUGUAGUCUCAGAUUGCUUGGGGGCAAACCCUGAAGAGGAGGGGACUUAGAAAGCUGUGAGGAGGUGAGGACCUUCAGUCUCCACAACUGCUUCAUAGGGGCAAGAGCUACUGAAGAAGAGUUGCUGUGUUUGUUAGGCAUGACACUCCUGUGCAGAUCCUAUUUUCUUUUUUUUCUAAUAAAGAGUUAACUCCACUUUCGUUGUGUGAUUCACUGCUGGCUCGCUCGCUCCUGGCACAAUCUAACCUGGAGGUUAUCAGAGCAUGGAUCACUGAGGGAUGGAAGUCUCUGCCCAGGGAGUAUUGCAGAUGGCACACCAGCAUAGACUGUUAAAGGGUAUUCCAUAUCACAAAAGCAAAAUGUGCCUCCGGUGUCAAAGAUGGAUCAUGGAGCACCUUCAAGGGCCAACCUGUUGCUUUAGGGAAACUGUGGCACCUUCUGAUAGAGGAUGAACACACUCCUUGGGGAAAACAAACCAACGUCCCAUAGUACCACCUUCUUUCUUUUUUAAAAAUUGAGGUUCAUUUUAUUUGCCUCCAGCCCACCAGUUACUGCAGUUAGGCACUGAUUUAGCACUUUCAAUAUUUCAUCAGAAUAUGAUUUUUGGGGUUGUUGUGUUUGUUUUUUUCUAGGUCUUUUUUCCUUUUAUUGCAUUUUGAUAUUUUUAUUGUAAUUCACCAUGCUGCUAAUUUAUGAAAGGUGGUAUAAAAUAAAGGAUGCCCAUAUAAACAUACACACAAGUAAAUGUGGGCUUUCCUAAAGUUGGGCCUCGGUGUCCUGCUGUGAGAAGGCUAAAUUAGUCCCUGUCCCUGCUUUUGUAUAUGUAACAUGAGGUCCUGGAAGUCUUUACGUUGUCUCUGUUUUCCAAUUGGAACAUUCCUGUCAUUUUGCAUCAUUCCUGGAUCAUGUUUUCCAUUAAUAUAAAUUAACAUAGCAACACACUGGCUUCAAAACUGGCUUUCCCCGGCUGAACAUCUGUUUCCUUAUGCACAAUUCAUUUUUGUCUUCAGGAACCUGGUAAGAGAAAUGCCACAAGAUUUCUAAUCUUAAACAAAUCCAGGCAAUAGAUUUUUAUACCCACCUAAAAGCUUGCCUCUCAACCCUCUCAGUAUGCAGAAAUGCAUUCAAGUGCUUAUUUCAGAAUGUAUGCCUAUAUUGUCUCAGGCCUAUCUAAUGUGUGAAGUUGGGAAGACUUCUCCUUCCCAGCAAGCCUGAAGUUCUUGUAGUUUAGAAAGCAGCUUUGCUUGGAAGAGAUGCACAUUUUUUAUUUUCUCUGCUCAGAGGCGGUUUUAUGGUAGUGCGACCGAUUAUAAUAAAUAAUAAUAAUUUAUUAUUUAUACCCUGCCUAUCUGGUUGGGUUUCCCCAGCCACUCUGGGCGGCUCCCAACAGAAUAUUAAAAACUUGGUAAAACACCGAACAUUAAAAACUUUCCUAAACAGGGCUGCCUUCAGAUGUCUUCUAAAAGUCAUCUGAUGGGAGGGCGUUCCACAGGGCAGGUGCCACUACUGCAGCUGGCUCCUACUCAUGAUGGCUGUACCCUACUAACCCAAUAUGUGUGAAACAAGACAUUGAGAUAAUCGGAUCACUGGAUCAUCACACUUUUCCACACAACUUGUUACAAAUUGAAAGGCAGUCUCCUAAAGUGGGGAGCUUAUCUACUUCUGAAGGCUCCCUGCAUUAUUUCUUUAAAAAGUUAGAAGAGGAAUCCAUUGGAUUUGAACUAAGGUGCUGGGUAGGGUUUUAUAAUCCACUCCCUGCUGUUAUUUUUGCAGUAAAAAAAAACCCCACCAGAAGCUAUUUUCUCCAUAAGGGAAAGGUUCCAAGUAGUAUAGGAGAAGAAAAAACCUUUGCUUUGAACAACACUAUAUGGAUUCCUUAACAAAAAAACCAGUAUAGAUAAAUAAGCACCUUUUAAAGGUGAUUUCGAUUGGGGAAAUAGCAUAGGGUGAAGAGGCUGCGAAACCAAAGGAAAGUGUGGCUAUAUGGAGGUUAAGUUGUAAUUAAGCAAUCACAAUAUGACGUGAGAAGAAGUAUCCUACUUAUACUGCAGGAAGGAAAUUAAAUCCGGCAUUUUAACUUGCUAUUUCUAUGUUUUUGGGUGCAGGAGUGAAUUUGCAAGCACCUUAAUUGCUAGAGAAUUUUAGAAUUGUAUUACAUCUGUUUCUUUAGCUGUAAGGUAAAGGGACCCCUGACCGUUAGGUCCAGUCGCGACCGACUCUGGGGUUGCGGCGCUCAUCUCACUUUAUUGGCCGAGGGAGCCGGCGUACAGCUUCCGGGUCAUGUGGCCAGCAUGACUAAGCCGCUUCUGGCGAACCAGAGCAGCGCAUGGAAAUGCCGUUUACCUUCCUGCCGGAGCGGUACCUAUUUAUCUACUUGCACUUUGACGUGCUUUCGAACUGCUAGGUGGGCAGGAGCAGGGACCGAGCAAUGGAAGCUCACCCCAUCGCAGAGAUUUGAACUGCCGACCUUCUGAUCAGCAAGCCCUAGGCUCAGUGGUUUAACCUACAGUGCCACCCACGUCCCCACAGCGUCACCCGUGUCUUUAGCUGUAGAGAUACCUAUAAUUGCUAGGCCCAGGUGCUAAUAUCUAUAACUUGGCACUUAGCAAUGGAAUAUUAUGGAAAGCCCCAGUUUAAGCUGGGGAAGGAAACCAACGGACUCUAGCCUUUGUUUUGGGUCCAGAUACUUGUGUUUAGUUUCCUGUUUAGUUGCUUGGUUAUAGAUAUGUGGUACAAAGGCAGCACUUCUCCUUAUAAUUAAAAAGAGAGCUCAUAUAAAUAAUACGCUGGGAGAGAAGCCUAAGAAGGUGUUACAAGAGAUUUACUAUGGAAGAGAGUUCUAAUGAUCCAUCCCAAGCUAAAUCCUUGUCCUCUGAGUGCACGUAACUCCCAUUAGCAUUCCUGGGAACUUUGCCAAUGCACCAGGAAAAAAUGGAAUAAACAGUGCUGUUUGCACUUGAAAAUAGUGUUGCUUAGAGAGUGCGGCAUAAUCCUUUAAAACAGCUGGAGCACGUGUGCAAUCGAUCUCCCUACCACCAUGACACUCUUUGUUUAUGCUGAACAUCAGGCUUUCCUUGUCAGCCCGCCAGGGUUGGACCAGACCUCUUUGAGCAGAUACUCAGAGCUAAAGUAGUCAAAUAUGCAUGUGAAGCACAGCAGAUCUCAACUUAUUGUUGGCUAUACAGAUAUUUGACUGCUGCCAUUUGCCACAGUUGUGCUUCAAGGAAUGUCAAAACCCAAAUUCUGCAUGACUUUCAUUUGUUUCAUGGAACAAAGUCCAGUGGCCUUUCCAUCAAGAAAUUGCCAGCCUUGGCAGCUUGAACUAGGGCGCACAAUCCAAACGAUAUAAGAAACACUGGUAGGGCAGAUCUAUCUUUACUAGAUAGGUAAAGAGGUAAAGUAGUGCCUUCCACUUGUUGUAGACUACAACCCCAGCCAGCAGGGUCCACAACAUCUGGAGGGCAGCAGAUUGCAGGCUCUGGUAUAGAAUAAUCUCAAGGCACGUUUAUGAGUAUUUAACCAAUAAGGUUUAUUAAAUCAGAGCAUUAUGCAGCCACGUUUCUACAUCUUACAUGCAGGUUUUUAUUUCAGGGACAAAUUUGCAGAGAAGAUCUUCUAAGAAAGAGUUGUCAGCCUGACACUAAACUCACUUCUGCUCCUAGAUGCUUCUUGCAGAAGCAAUAUGCUUUCGUAUUGACAGCACAACAUUUUUCAUGUGAAUAUUCCUCUCUGCUGGGAGAAACAAAAUUUACAUCAGAAUCAACAUAUUUUAAUUUUCGUUAAAAGGGGGUUUCCCCUGAGAUAAUCCAAAACGAUGGUGCACUAUGUUAUCCAGAAGUCCAUAAGAUUCUUCUGCCUGAUUUAUGUUGGGAGGGCCAAAUUCCUCUUAAUGCCAUGGGAUGUUUCUGUGCUUUGCACCUCCAGAAUUGACAUGGGAAGCUUUUCACCUUAUUACAACACUGAUACAGCAAAGAUAGCGUAGCUGCCUGAGAUGGGAGAGGCAAAGCAGGCGAGGCGGUACCUUUUCCUGGAGCAAGAAUGUGCAAGUUCCAAGGAGGUCAUCUUCAAACAGAAAAAGAAGUUGGGUGCAGGGAGAGUAAGCAGGUUUAGACUGCAAUGAGGAGUAAGCCUUGUUGUAUACAAUGGGCCUCACUUCGGAAUAUACAUGCCUUAGGACUGAGUGGUCAGGAAGCAAUGGAGUGUUCGAACAAAUGGCUGAAAUUCUGGACCGCCAUUGCAGUCCCAAAGAAGUCAUAGGCUGGGCACACAUGACAAUGGCAUCUUUCCUCCAGAGAGGUCAAGGUGGCAUACAUGGUUCUCUCCCCACCCCCAUUUUAUCAUCACAACAACCCUGUGAGGUAGGUUGGGCUGGUCACCCAGUGAACCUCAUGACUGAAUGGGAACUCAGUGUACAGUGGUGCCCCGCAAGACGAAUGCCUCGCAAGACGGAAAAACCUCUAGACGAAAGGGUUUUCCGUUUUGAAGUUGCUUCGCAGGACGAAUUCCCCUAUGGGCUUGCUUCGCAAGACGAAAAUACCUUGCGAGUCUUGAGAUUUUUUUUUUCGCUUCCCCCCCCCUUUAUCUAAUCUGCUAAGCCUUUAAUAGCCUUUAAUAGCCUUUUAGCAGCUAAUCCCCUAAGCCUUUAAGCCUUUAAUAGCCGCUAAACCGCUAAUAGCGCUAAUAGCGCUAAUCCGUCAAUGGGCUUGCUUCGCAAGACGAAAAAACCGCUAGACGAAGACUCUCGCGGAACGGAUUAAUUUCGUCUUGCGAGGCACCACUGUAUUCAUUCAACACGUCCAGCAACUCAUCCAAGCUAAAUUCACACACUCCACAUGGUGUGCUGACUUACACCAAAUGAGAAUUUAUGCCACAGAAAAAGACCACUUGACAGUUUAUAGUCAAUGAGGAAGAUACUGAUUUAGAGGACAGCUUCCAAAUGCCUUAAGAAAAACCUAAUAAAAAAUGCUGUGUCUCCUAAUCCGUGUCUACUCAUUUUUUGGGAGUUGAGAAGAUCCAAAGCCAAACCUCCCAGCUGCAGUAACUGUGAGAAGACAGGCCGGAGCUCAUGGUCUUCCAUCUGAGAGAUGUAUGGACAUGUUUUCUUUAAUUCUAGGGCGCAGCGUCAGCAGGCCUGAAAAAAAGAACAGCUGGAAAGACACAUCAUGCUAGCAGCUGAAAAUAAAAUGCCAUUUCAGCUGUCUGAACGUAGCCCAGUAGCAAUGAAGUUGUGUUAUAACUGUCUUCAUCAGCUAACCCCAUUCGUAACCCACACCAUCCCUACCUGGGCAAAUGGGUGCAGUAUUCUGUUCCAACAGCAAGCACUGACUCAUAAAAAGUUGCUGUCCAAGAUCUGAAAUGGGUUUUUCUACCAAGUGGGCAAAGGCAAUGGUUAGGAAAAUGCAGGCUACAUCUGGAUAAUUUGGCUUCUUUUCUUUUCUUUCAAGAAACAGAACCCCGGAAGCCAUUUGCUAUGGCAGCACUACAGUUUUUCUGUUGGUAUCUUGUAAAUAAUAUUUGGCAAAACAAGUGGAACCAUUCUUUACUGCUACAUGCAUGUUAUUAUUUCCUCCCUCCGGGAUGGAAAAAUUAUGGCACAACACGCGAUCAACUUCUUGCUUUCCUUAAUUGCACAAGUAGAUGUAGUAUGAACCUGGAGACCAAAAUUACUAAUCAGUGUCACUUCAACUGGAAACUUAAUAGCAUUCUGAUUGCAUACUUCACAAAUUCCUUAUUGUUUUACACACACCUAUGAUGGUCUGGAACACAGCAUUCAGCAAAGGCAGAGGACAGCCAUCUUCUGUAUAUUCAAGCAGCAUCUAAUUAGUCAUUUCUUCGGGAACACACAAUGCUAGUUAUGAUGAAAGAAUCACAAAACAUGGUCUUAAACUGUUUUAUGUAAUCAGUUUUUUUUGUUUUUUUGUUUGUUUGUUGUUUGCCUGUAGCCUCAACCAAAAUUUCUUUGCCCCCCCAGCCUGAAAUGGCAUCUCAGAUUAGAGCAUGAAAUCUGAUGAAGUCUAGCCAAGACGGCAAGCUCUGUAGGGGGAGAACUACAAAACACAGACCCCAAGAAGCUGAUGACACAUCCAUGAAGUGGUAAUGACAGCGAGACAUGAUACUCUGUUGUAAUUGCUGCAAAAUAUUUAGGAAGCCCGAGCAGCAUUUACACGGAGUUGAAAGGUCAAAGGUCAACACGCGUGAGAGCGCACAUAGAUCCCACUGGACUAACACAUUGCUAUAGCAUAAACCAUUCCAGAUGUCCAGAAGAACCUCCGGCGGAUAUUCAUUUGUGUCUGGGAUCUAUACAGCUGAAUUCCUUGAUAACAUCUGCCCAUUGGUGGUCCAGGAAGACUAUUUCCUAUAAAAACAAAGAAAUAAGAGGCAAGACCUAGACUUUUACAGGUCAUUUCAUGGCUAUCUUUGACAGUCUGCACAACUAGAAAAACAAAGGCAUGACUCGGCAUGCUUAAAAGCACAAAUGGGGCGGAAGAUUAUGAUCUAAUUAUGAUCUAAAACACCACUAUGUUUGUUUACUUUCUUUCCAGUAAAGAAGUUCAUGAAGCAAACCAUGCACAGUCUAAUAUGAAACUGAGAAAAAUCCGAAAUGAUUAUAGAUAAUAGCUGUGUUCAGGAUUACCUUUCAGUGUUCAGCAAACAAGUGAGGGGCAAGAAGUGGGAAUGGAUGUGCUCCCUCCCUCCCACUCAUCAUCAUUUCUUCAUCCUCCCUCUCAGCGAAGGCAACUUUCUGAAGCCAGGAGCCUCCUAGACCUUGGGAAAACAGGGUUCAACUAAAAGGUGUGGGGUACCUUCAUUAGUUAAGAGUGCUUCCAUUUCUGCAAUGGUUUCCCUCCAUUAGUUGGAGAGCAACAGAAAGCAUAAUUGAAGGGGUCGAAGGAGACUGGGAAUGGAGGAUGAGAGGGCAAGGGGUCAAGGCCUGACAUUUCUUAUUCAACAUUCAGCUCUCAGUGGGAAUGAAGAGCUGAGACAGUACUGCCUCCAAACCCCCAGCUUUCUUAAUGCACUGUGCCAAGCUAAUCUAAGUGAGGAUAGCUUUUGCAUAUCCGAUAAGUUGAAGGUGAUUUCAUGCAGUGAUAUUUAUUACAAGGGCAUGCAAAAUGGGUGUUCUAGCUAUGGAUAUCCUUUUUCAAGCAAAGGGUUGGAUUUAGAUGAGCUACAAGGCCUUCUCCAACUCUGUGAGACGAUAAAAGAUUCAUGGUUGUGUCCAAAAGCUUCACCCCACACCUCCUGUCCUUCUCUUUCAUUGGAAAGAUGUGGUAGAACAAAAUACGUCAGAUCUGAUGUCAUAUUACAUCCUUUGUUUGAAUGCAUAUUAUGAGGAGAUAAGAAGAAGAGACACAAGACUGUGGCUUUUGGUGGCAGCCACACAGUUCUAGCAAAACCAGGUCUUUGCAUCCAGAAAUCAUCACUAAUCUUCAGUUAGAAAGUGAUUUGAUUGCAUCACUCUGUUCAAUGAGUAGGAUAGCAUAUGAGGCAGAUUCUUGUUCAUUUAACUUUCUUUUUUUUAAAAAAAGGUUUUUUAGCAGCUAAUAGUGGAGAAGUUAGAGGUUAGCCCUUUUGAAAUAACAGUGUAUAAGGAUAGAAGGUCAAGCAGUACAAAAUACAGCUUCAGUGAAUCUAACAAAGUCACUACUGAGAAUCUGAUAUUUUUAAGUAGUCUCCCAGCUGGAAAACUGCAUAUAAACCUAGCACUUAAGGAGUUAUUUGGGGGGUACAAAAUGAGACUCCUAACUUGAUUGGAUUAUCAUAAAAAUUUUCUCUCAUCUCUAACAGC
Podarcis lilfordi (Lilford's wall lizard) is the source of this 12426-nucleotide non-coding RNA. Lineage: Eukaryota; Metazoa; Chordata; Lepidosauria; Squamata; Lacertidae. The record is from the annotation of a GenBank genome assembly.